RNAcentral lists this transfer RNA (76 nucleotides) under Cephalotaxus lanceolata. Its description in RNAcentral is "tRNA-Val". The record is from RNAcentral. Lineage: Eukaryota; Viridiplantae; Streptophyta; Pinopsida; Cupressales; Taxaceae.
GGGCUAUAGCUCAGCUUGGUGGAGCACCUCGUUUACACAAGUAAAGGGAACCUUUUGAAUCACUUUGGGAUUGCUU